GCGUAAUAGCUCACUGGUCUAGUGAUUUUGCGCGGAAAAUAUAACGGGGCUAAAGUAAGUACCGAAGCUGUAGACUUGCACACAACUUAGAUUAUUUAAGUUUAGAAUAUUAAGAAACUAAGUUAUAUGUUUUAGUUAUAUUUUUACUGAUUUUUAUAGGGUAAAGAUAGAAAUAAAACUUAGUAAAAUCAGUAAAAAUAUUCUUAGGCUAAAGUUAAGUAGUUUAAGUUGUGUGCAAGUGGUAGGAGAGCGUUCUAUUUGCGUCGAAGGUAUACCGGUAAGGAGUGCUGGAGCGAAUAGAAGUGAGCAUGC
RNAcentral lists this ribosomal RNA (312 nucleotides) under Campylobacter jejuni. RNAcentral's name for it is "partial 23S ribosomal RNA". It matches the Rfam family "Bacterial large subunit ribosomal RNA", at positions 1132 to 1297 of the family's 2925-position model. The record is from RNAcentral. Lineage: Bacteria; Pseudomonadati; Campylobacterota; Epsilonproteobacteria; Campylobacterales; Campylobacteraceae.